This is an RNA transcript of Haliotis rubra (blacklip abalone), 2437 nucleotides long. It is a transcript of the gene named CUB and zona pellucida-like domain-containing protein 1, with no coding region annotated. The record is from RefSeq and is a predicted model, not a curated record. Lineage: Eukaryota; Metazoa; Mollusca; Gastropoda; Lepetellida; Haliotidae. The transcript has 5 exons.
AAUAGCAACGUUGCGAUCCAUUAAGUUUGUUCAAUAUUAUCAUUGAAACUACUUGAAUCUUAUUCGCUAAGAGAGUGUCUGAAUCUCAGUACCCUUCGUUGUAAAUUGUUGAUUUAAGGAACGCAUUAAUCAAGAACAUGCGAUACAAGCGUCGAAUUGCUAGCGACAAUAAACAGCUUUAAAUUUCUAUAUCCGACUAUGACGUCAUGUUUGGGGAUGUGACAUCAUAAUAGUGACGUGCUGUCCACGCAUGCUUGUUGACGAAGAAGCUACAUCUCUCAAAGAUACAAAAGGAAGGGAAUUUUCUCUCGCUUUCUUUCCGGAAUACACUGACGAUCCAACAAAUGACCUUCGAAACAUUCUGUACUUCUCAUCCCCCCUUCGUGGUGUUUGUACUGUGGACUACAACGACGGCACAAGACGUCAGACCAGGGUGAAUGUUGUCGCCAACGAUGUAGUUAAACUGGCUUUAUCUGACGCCACACAACUACCAGCUGGAACAAGAAUAGAACCAAAGGCUAUUUAUGUGAACUGUACAACAGCAAUAGCUCUUUAUGGACACAAUAAGUACAGGAGCGGUGUGGAAACAUCAGACUCAUUCACAGUUCUUCCUGAUGAUACGUUGUCAACGAAUUAUGUCGUUGCAAGUGUCGAAAAAACUGCAAAUCUUGGCGUUGUGGCCACCCAAGAUAACACUAAGGUUUCCGUAACUCUUAAUGCAACAUGUGAAUAUGUGUUUAACAGUGUCCGAUACACAGAUGGAGACAUUGUUAAUGUCACACUGGGCUAUGGUGACGUCUUUCAGAUAGGUUUAGCUUCAUUUUCGAGCUCUGAUAAGUGUGACUUAGGGGGAACCCAAAUCCUUUCUAAUCAUCAAGUCGCAGUGUUUUCAGGUGCUCUGUAUAGCUACAUGCCUAGCUGUUAUAGAAACUCUUAUGGGGGUCACAUGGUUAGUCAAGUUCCCCCAGAGAGCGCUUUUUCAAAUACUCAAAUUAUUCCCAAAGUGGAGGCGAUUGACCUUGGGGCAAUGGUGUUUCGUAUAUUGGCAAAGUAUGACAAUACAGUCGUGAAUAUAACGAAGGAAGAAGUAAAUGGAAAUGUAGUGGCAUGGUCUACAUCACUGAAUACCGCCGAGUUCAAACAAUACUGUUCUCUAUCCAGCGCCAACUUCAUCAUACAAAGCACUCGACCUGUAAUGUGUACCGAGCUUAUUUACUUUAAACGUGAUGGAGGCACAUCGUUGUUUGUACCAGGAACGGUUCUUUAUGACAACAACUACAUUGUAAAGAGUUUAGAUUUGGACGGGGUGAACAAGGAGGGUCCAAUGAUUACUAUUGUAUCUGAGGUGUCAUCAUUCAUGGAUGUUCGUGUAAAUGGUCAACAUCGGGAUGACAUCCAGUGGACUAACCUCUCAACGGCACCUUACACUGUCGGGGCACUGCAGAUACAACCCCAAAGGCCAUAUGUUGUCAACAGUUCAUCGCCAAUUCUAGUCAGGCUUCACGAAGCAUUUGCCCGGGAAUCAUACAGCUACAAUGCAGGAUACCGUCUUCCGUCACUGGCAGAAUCAUUGUUUGGUGCUGUCACCCUCAAAUGCCUACCAGGAGGGUGGUUCGUUACAGUGGACUUCAUGGACUCAAACUUCGACAUCAGUCUCCUCCCCCACAUCUACAUGACCAUGGACAUGUGUGUUGGAACGAUACAGGGACGGCAUCUCAUAUUCAACAUGUCGUACAACGACUGCCACACACAAUCAAGUGUAUCCAAAGGCAUGGUUACCUAUAUGAACGCGGUGAUGUAUGUACAACCAGCGACUGAUCAUAUGGUUCGAGAUGUCAUCUGGAUUCAAGAUAUCAACUGCUCCGAACCAGUGGAUGGCACGGACUCCGUUCACAUUUACCCAUCCUUCCAACACAACCGUACAUGGCUCAAUAUCGGGACAGGUGCAAGGUUCCAGCGUCCAUAUAUCCUUAUACCAAGACGCAUCAUUUAUGCACCUUUCAAACGGCAAUCUGAUUCAGGCUGAGGUUGGAGCACCUGUGUAUGUUCAAGUUGCCUCGCCAGGGACUUCCAAUACAAUAAUGGUGUUACGAUCAUGUGACGCCCACCUUGACAGUGUUCCGGGGAAACAAGCGUCUUAUCCUCUCAUUGCAGAUGGGUGUGCUGUGGAUGGUCAUACUCAGAUCCUCGUGACGCGAAACUCCGUGACCAGGUUUAAGUUUGACAUGUUUGACAUCCCUAAUGAACAGGACGGCAUCUACGUCACUUGUCACGUGACAUUCUGUGACCAGAUGGACUUCUCCGACAAGUGUCAACAGCAGUGUCACAGAAGUCCAAACAUAAUUGGUUAAUGUCUGUAAUGCUAACCAUGAACGUUUAUUGUUCGUGGAACGGAUUUGAAAAAGAUCUUGUUCUUUAAUAAAAAUAUCACUCACUA